This 443-nucleotide ribosomal RNA is filed under the name uncultured bacterium. RNAcentral's name for it is "partial 16S ribosomal RNA". It matches the Rfam family "Bacterial small subunit ribosomal RNA", at positions 338 to 795 of the family's 1533-position model. The record is from RNAcentral.
CCUACGGGCGGCAGCAGUGGGGAAUAUUGGGCAAUGGGCGCAAGCCUGACCCUGCAACGCCGCGUGAAGGAAGAAGGCCCUCGGGUUGUAAACUUCUUUUAUCAGGGACGAAGCAAGUGACGGUACCUGAUGAAUAAGCCACGGCUAACUACGUGCCAGCAGCCGCGGUAAGACGUCGGUGGCAAGCGUUAUCCGGAUUUACUGGGUGUAAAGGGUGUGUAGGCGGGAGUGCAAGUCAGAUGUGAAAACUAUGGGCCCAACCCAUAGCCUGCAUUUGAAACUGGACGUCUUGAGUGCUGGAGAGGCAAUCGGAAUUCGGGGUGUAGCGGUGAAAUGCGUAGAUAUACGGAAGAACACCAGUGGCGAAGGCGGAGUGCUGGACAGUAACUGACGCUGAGGCGCGAAAGCGUGGGGAGCGAACAGGAUUAGAUACCCCUGUAGUC